UGAAUUUGAUUUUUAAGUGAAAAAGCUUAAAUAUUUUUGGGGGACGAUAAGACCCUAUGGAUCUUUAUAAUGAUGAUUAAUAAAAAGUUUAGAAGUUACAGCUUUUUACUCUAAGUUAUUGGGUUGGGGCGACUGGAAGAAAAGAAUAUCUCUUCUUAAAAAUAAAUAUUAUUUAUAGAAUUAAAAAUGACCCUAAAUUUUGGUUUANCAGAUCAAGUUACCCUAGGGAUAACAGCGUAAUCUUUUUGGAGAGUUCAUAUCGAUGAAAAGGUUUGCGACCUCGAUGUUGGAUUAAGAGAUCCUUGCGGCGCAGCAGUUGCGGAGGAAAGUCUGUUCGACUUUUAAAUUCUU
This 351-nucleotide ribosomal RNA is filed under the name Triops cancriformis. RNAcentral describes it as "partial large subunit ribosomal RNA". It matches the Rfam family "Bacterial large subunit ribosomal RNA", at positions 2037 to 2597 of the family's 2925-position model. The record is from RNAcentral. Lineage: Eukaryota; Metazoa; Arthropoda; Branchiopoda; Notostraca; Triopsidae.